This 237-nucleotide ribosomal RNA is filed under the name uncultured bacterium. Its description in RNAcentral is "partial 16S ribosomal RNA". It matches the Rfam family "Bacterial small subunit ribosomal RNA", at positions 96 to 334 of the family's 1533-position model. The record is from RNAcentral.
CGGCGAACGGGUGAGUAACACGUGGGCAACCUGCCCCUAACACUGGGAUAACCUCGGGAAACCGGGGCUAAUACCGGAUACGACCUCGAGCGGCAUCUCUUGAGGUGGAAUGCUCCGACGGUUAGGGAUGGGCCCGCGGCCUAUCAGCUUGUUGGUGGGGUAAUGGCCUACCAAGGCGACGACGGGUAGCCGGCCUGAGAGGGCGACCGGCCACACUGGGACUGAGACACGGCCCAG